Molecule: transfer RNA, 74 nt
Filed under: Cryomorpha ignava
Lineage: Bacteria; Pseudomonadati; Bacteroidota; Flavobacteriia; Flavobacteriales; Cryomorphaceae
Rfam family: tRNA
About the family: Transfer RNA (tRNA) molecules are approximately 80 nucleotides in length.
Source: Rfam by way of RNAcentral
GGCGAGAUAGCUCAGCUGGCUAGAGCGCAUGAUUCAUACUCAUGAGGUCCCGAGUUCGACCCUCGGUCUCGCUA